Molecule: ribosomal RNA, 446 nt
Filed under: uncultured bacterium
Lineage: Bacteria
Description: bacterial SSU rRNA
Rfam family: Bacterial small subunit ribosomal RNA
Source: RNAcentral
GUCCAGACUCCUACGGGAGGCAGCAGUGGGGAAUAUUGCACAAUGGGGGAAACCCUGAUGCAGCAACGCCGCGUGAGCGAUGAAGUAUUUCGGUAUGUAAAGCUCUAUCAGCAGGGAAGAAGAUGACGGUACCUGACUAAGAAGCCCCGGCUAACUACGUGCCAGCAGCCGCGGUAAUACGUAGGGGGCAAGCGUUAUCCGGAUUUACUGGGUGUAAAGGGAGCGUAGACGGCGAUGCAAGCCAGAUGUGAAAGCCCGGGGCUCAACCCCGGGACUGCAUUUGGAACUGUGUGGCUGGAGUGUCGGAGAGGCAGGCGGAAUUCCUAGUGUAGCGGUGAAAUGCGUAGAUAUUAGGAGGAACACCAGUGGCGAAGGCGGCCUGCUGGACGAUGACUGACGUUGAGGCUCGAAAGCGUGGGGAGCAAACAGGAUUAGAUACCCCGGUA